This 418-nucleotide ribosomal RNA is filed under the name uncultured microorganism. Its description in RNAcentral is "bacterial SSU rRNA". It matches the Rfam family "Bacterial small subunit ribosomal RNA", at positions 9 to 431 of the family's 1533-position model. The record is from RNAcentral.
GAGUUUGAUCCUGGCUCAGGACGAACGCUGGCGGCGUGCUUAACACAUGCAAGUCGAACGGUAAGGCUCCAGCUUGCUGGGGUACACGAGUGGCGAACGGGUGAGUAACACGUGGGUGACCUGCCCUGCACUUCGGGAUAAGCCUGGGAAACUGGGUCUAAUACCGGAUAGGACCGCACCGUGAGGGUGUGGUGGAAAGUUUUUUCGGUGUGGGAUGGGCCCGCGGCCUAUCAGCUUGUUGGUGGGGUAAUGGCCUACCAAGGCGGCGACGGGUAGCCGGCCUGAGAGGGUGGACGGCCACAUUGGGACUGAGACACGGCCCAGACUCCUACGGGAGGCAGCAGUGGGGAAUAUUGCACAAUGGGCGGAAGCCUGAUGCAGCGACGCCGCGUGGGGAUGACGGCCUCGGUUGUAACGU